This 468-nucleotide ribosomal RNA is filed under the name uncultured bacterium. RNAcentral describes it as "partial 16S ribosomal RNA". It matches the Rfam family "Bacterial small subunit ribosomal RNA", at positions 28 to 507 of the family's 1533-position model. The record is from RNAcentral.
GACGAACGCUGGCGGCGUGCUUAACACAUGCAAGUCGAACGGAAAGGCCCUGCUUUUGUAGGGUGCUCGAGUGGCGAACGGGUGAGUAACACGUGAGUAACCUGCCCUUGACUUUGGGAUAACUUCAGGAAACUGGGGCUAAUACCGGAUAGGAGCUCCUGCUGCAUGGUGGGGGUUGGAAAGUUUCGGCGGUUGGGGAUGGACUCGCGGCUUAUCAGCUUGUUGGUGGGGUAGUGGCUUACCAAGGCUUUGACGGGUAGCCGGCCUGAGAGGGUGACCGGCCACAUUGGGACUGAGAUACGGCCCAGACUCGUACGGGAGGCAGGAGUGGGGAAUAUUGCACAAUGGGCGGAAGCCUGAUGCAGCAACGCCGCGUGCGGGAUGACGGCCUUCGGGUUGUAAACCGCUUUCGCCUGUGACGAAGCGUGAGUGACGGUAAUGGGUAAAGAAGCACCGGCUAACUACGUG